ACGGGUGAGUAACGCGUGGGAAUCUACCGUGCCCUGCGGAAUAGCUCCGGGAAACUGGAAUUAAUACCGCAUACGCCCUACGGGGGAAAGAUUUAUCGGGGUAUGAUGAGCCCGCGUUGGAUUAGCUAGUUGGUGGGGUAAAGGCCUACCAAGGCGACGAUCCAUAGCUGGUCUGAGAGGAUGAUCAGCCACAUUGGGACUGAGACACGGCCCAAACUCCUACGGGAGGAAGCAGUGGGGAAUAUUGGACAAUGGGCGCAAGCCUGAUCCAGCCAUGCCGCGUGAGUGAUGAAGGCCUUAGGGUUGUAAAGCUCUUUCACCGGAGAAGAUAAUGACGGUAUCCGGAGAAGAAGCCCCGGCUAACUUCGUGCCAGCAGCCGCGGUAAUACGAAGGGGGCUAGCGUUGUUCGGAAUUACUGGGCGUAAAGCGCACGUAGGCGGAUAUUUAAGUCAGGGGUGAAAUCCCAGAGCUCAACUCUGGAACUGCCUUUGAUACUGGGUAUCUUGAGUAUGGAAGAGGUAAGUGGAAUUCCGAGUGUAGAGGUGAAAUUCGUAGA
This 557-nucleotide ribosomal RNA is filed under the name uncultured bacterium. RNAcentral's name for it is "bacterial SSU rRNA". It matches the Rfam family "Bacterial small subunit ribosomal RNA", at positions 102 to 694 of the family's 1533-position model. The record is from RNAcentral.